This 356-nucleotide ribosomal RNA is filed under the name uncultured Methylobacterium sp. RNAcentral's name for it is "bacterial SSU rRNA". It matches the Rfam family "Bacterial small subunit ribosomal RNA", at positions 1025 to 1382 of the family's 1533-position model. The record is from RNAcentral. Lineage: Bacteria; Pseudomonadati; Pseudomonadota; Alphaproteobacteria; Hyphomicrobiales; Methylobacteriaceae.
GGCGCGCACACAGGUGCUGCAUGGCUGUCGUCAGCUCGUGUCGUGAGAUGUUGGGUUAAGUCCCGCAACGAGCGCAACCCACGUCCUUAGUUGCCAUCAUUCAGUUGGGCACUCUAGGGAGACUGCCGGUGAUAAGCCGCGAGGAAGGUGUGGAUGACGUCAAGUCCUCAUGGCCCUUACGGGAUGGGCUACACACGUGCUACAAUGGCGGUGACAGUGGGACGCGAAGGAGCGAUCUGGAGCAAAUCCCCAAAAGCCGUCUCAGUUCGGAUUGCACUCUGCAACUCGAGUGCAUGAAGGCGGAAUCGCUAGUAAUCGUGGAUCAGCAUGCCACGGUGAAUACGUUCCCGGGCCUU